GAUGAAGAACGUAGCGAAAUGCGAUAAGUAAUGUGAAUUGCAGAGUUCAGUGAAUCAUCGAGUCUUUGAACGCACAUUGCGCCCCCUGGUAUUCCGGGGGGCAUGCCUGUCCGAGCGUCAUUGCUGCCCUCAAGCACGGCUUGUGUGUUGGGCCUCCGUCCUCCUCCCGGGGGACGGGCCCGAAAGGCAGCGGCGGCACCGCGUCCGGUCCUCGAGCGUAUGGGGCUUCGUCACCCGCUCUUGUAGGCCCGGCCGGCGCUUGCCGACACAUCAAUCUUUUUUCCAGGUUGACCUCGGAUCAGGUAGGGAUACCCGCUGAACUUAAGCAUAUCAAUAAGCGGAGGA
RNAcentral lists this unclassified non-coding RNA (345 nucleotides) under soil metagenome. Its description in RNAcentral is "partial contains 5.8S ribosomal RNA, internal transcribed spacer 2, and large subunit ribosomal RNA". The stretch from base 1 to 120 matches the Rfam family "5.8S ribosomal RNA", at positions 35 to 154 of the family's 154-position model. The record is from RNAcentral.